Kalaharituber pfeilii is the source of this 72-nucleotide non-coding RNA. The record is from the annotation of a GenBank genome assembly. Lineage: Eukaryota; Fungi; Ascomycota; Pezizomycetes; Pezizales; Pezizaceae.
GCCCGUUUGGCGCAAUGGUAGCGCGUCGGCCUCCUAAGCCGAAGGUUGCGAGUUCGAUCCUCGUGACGGGUG